RNAcentral lists this ribosomal RNA (413 nucleotides) under uncultured bacterium. Its description in RNAcentral is "bacterial SSU rRNA". It matches the Rfam family "Bacterial small subunit ribosomal RNA", at positions 505 to 916 of the family's 1533-position model. The record is from RNAcentral.
GUGCCAGCAGCCGCGGUAAUACGUAGGUGGCAAGCGUUGUCCGGAAUUAUUGGGCGUAAAGCGCGCGCAGGCGGCUUCUUAAGUCUGAUGUGAAAGGCUGCGGCUCAACCGCAGACGGUCAUUGGAAACUGGGGAGCUUGAGGGCAGAAGAGGAGAGUAGAAUUCCACGUGUAGCGGUGAAAUGCGUAGAGAUGUGGAGGAAUACCGGUGGCGAAGGCGGCUCUCUGGUCUGCAGCUGACGCUGAGGCGCGAAAGCGUGGGGAGCAAACAGGAUUAGAUACCCUGGUAGUUCACGCCGUAAACGAUGAGUGCUAGGUGUAGAGGGUAUCGACCCCCUCUGUGCCGGAGUUAACACAAUAAGCACUCCGCCUGGGGAGUACGGCCGCAAGGUUGAAACUCAAAUGAAUUGACGG